RNAcentral lists this ribosomal RNA (253 nucleotides) under uncultured bacterium. RNAcentral describes it as "partial 16S ribosomal RNA". It matches the Rfam family "Bacterial small subunit ribosomal RNA", at positions 524 to 776 of the family's 1533-position model. The record is from RNAcentral.
UACGGGGGGGGCAAGCGUUGUUCGGAAUUACUGGGCGUAAAGGGCCAGUAGGCGGCCAACUAAGUCCGACGUGAAAUCCCCAGGCUCAACUUGGGAACUGCGUCGGAUACUGGAUGGCUUGAAUUCGGGAGAGGGAUGCAGAAUUCCAGGUGUAGCGGUGAAAUGCGUAGAUAUCUGGAGGAACACCCGUAGCGAAGGCGGCACUCUGGGCCGGUACUGACGCUGAGGAGCGAAAGCGUGGGGAGCAAACAGG